RNAcentral lists this ribosomal RNA (242 nucleotides) under uncultured bacterium. RNAcentral's name for it is "partial 16S ribosomal RNA". It matches the Rfam family "Bacterial small subunit ribosomal RNA", at positions 15 to 244 of the family's 1533-position model. The record is from RNAcentral.
GAUCAUAAGGCUCAGGAUGAACGCUAGCUACAGGCUUAACACAUGCAAGUCGAGGGGCAGCAUGUAUCUGGCUUGCCAGAUACGAUGGCGACCGGCGCACGGGUGAGUAACGCGUAUCCGACCUGCCGCACACUCCGGGAUAGCCUUGCGAAAGCAAGUUUAAUACCGGAUGCCGUAAGGACGCCGCAUGGUGUUUUUACGAAAGGGGUUUACCGGUGUGCGAUGGGGAUGCGUCCCAUUAG